This 115-nucleotide non-coding RNA is filed under the name Paenibacillus polymyxa. RNAcentral's name for it is "Glycine sequence". It matches the Rfam family "Glycine riboswitch aptamer". From Rfam's summary of the family: This family represents the bacterial glycine riboswitch. Glycine riboswitches usually consist of two metabolite-binding aptamers domains with similar structures in tandem. RNAcentral also lists the same sequence under 1 other name. Lineage: Bacteria; Bacillati; Bacillota; Bacilli; Caryophanales; Paenibacillaceae. The record is from RNAcentral.
AUGAAGAUGACGGGAGAGUCUGUCCAGGGGCUUACACGCUGGCGGCACCGAAGGAGCAAGACGCCAACACCCGGCUGGCGGAUAAUCUCUCAGGUCCAUGUAUCGUCAUCUGACG